GUAGGGGGCUAUGCCCCCGAAAGGAUGUAGGCCAGCCAGAAUUGUAGCCCUACGUGGCUACUUGGAUGGCUGGCUAUUCACCUAGCUAUAACCCUUGUCUAUAAGUACUAUUGUUUCCUCGGCAGGCUUGCCUGCCAAUGAGGACCCCAUCAACCCUUUUUAUGUUAUUGUAACCGUACCAAACAAAUAAUCAAAACUUUCAACAACGGAUCUCUUGGUUCU
Molecule: unclassified non-coding RNA, 222 nt
Filed under: rhizosphere metagenome
Description: partial ribosomal RNA internal transcribed spacer region
Source: RNAcentral